GAUGAAGAACGUAGCGAAAUGCGAUAAGUAAUGUGAAUUGCAGAAUUCAGUGAAUCAUCGAAUCUUUGAACGCACAUUGCGCCCGUCAGUAUUCUGGCGGGCAGGCCUGUUCGAGCGUCAUUACGCCCCUCAAGUCCCCUGUGGACUUGGUGUUGGGGAUCGGCGAGGCUGGUUUUCCAGCACAGCCGUCCCUUAAAUUAAUUGGCGGUCUCGCCGUGGCCCUCCUCUGCGCAGUAGUAAAACACUCGCAACAGGAGCCCGGCGCGGUCCACUGACGUAAAACCCCCCAACUUUUUAUAGUUGACCUCGAAUCAGGUAGGACUACCCGCUGAACUUAAGCAUAUCAAUAAGCGGAGGA
RNAcentral lists this unclassified non-coding RNA (358 nucleotides) under soil metagenome. RNAcentral describes it as "partial contains 5.8S ribosomal RNA, internal transcribed spacer 2, and large subunit ribosomal RNA". The stretch from base 1 to 120 matches the Rfam family "5.8S ribosomal RNA", at positions 35 to 154 of the family's 154-position model. The record is from RNAcentral.